AAUGAUCGAUUUUGCAGAGCAGACCUCUAAUGGCGGAACGACGCACACCUCAUUUGUAAACAAGCGUUAUCUAGUAAAAUCAUCGAGAAAGAAGUGUCAUUCAGAAGUUCUCAGGUAAAAAUUUAAAUCAAUAAUUGUUAGAUUUGUGUAUGUAUUGUGAAUUUUCAAGAUAAAAUGUGCAUUUUUGACUCAAGAGUUUUUUAUUUUUUUAUUCCCAGUUAACAUUUCGUGCGAGAUGCGCGCGCAUUGGGUUUAAGUUAGUUGAAGAUUGCAGCGCCACUACACGGUGAAAUAUGCAAUACACUUCCUACGAUUCCCGAACGUAAUCGAUAUUUUUCACGAUCGAUUUUUAAGCGGCAGAGCAGUCCUUUAAUGGCGGAACGAAGCACACCUCAUCUGCAAAGAAGCGUUAUCCAGAAAAGUCUCAGAGAAAGAAGUGUCAUUCAGAAGUUCUCAGAAAAUUUUUGUGACCGCGCGCAAUGCGGUUGGCAGAGUCAGUGUUUGUUGCAUAAUAUUUUAAUAUUUUUCUGAGCAAAGUGGCUCCUAUUAAACUGAAUUAUCAAUUCAUUUACAUUAUAAUUCGCGAAGUUAGAAUCAGUGAGUUUGUCGGUUGUUACUUAAACGUGCGCGUUGAUAGUCUUUUAUUUUUAUUUUUUUUCAUAUUUCUUCUUAG
This is a long non-coding RNA of Frieseomelitta varia, 673 nucleotides long. RefSeq lists it as uncharacterized. The transcript has 3 exons. The record is from RefSeq and is a predicted model, not a curated record. NCBI's taxonomy places the organism in Eukaryota, Metazoa, Arthropoda, Insecta, Hymenoptera, Apidae.